Molecule: ribosomal RNA, 460 nt
Filed under: uncultured bacterium
Lineage: Bacteria
Description: partial 16S ribosomal RNA
Rfam family: Bacterial small subunit ribosomal RNA
Source: RNAcentral
CCUACGGGUGGCAGCAGUGAGGAAUAUUGGUCAAUGGGCGGAAGCCUGAACCAGCCAAGUAGCGUGCAGGAUGACGGCCCUACGGGUUGUAAACUGCUUUUAUACGGGAAUAACGCGCCUUACGUGUAGGGCUUUGCAUGUACCGCAUGAAUAAGGACUGGCUAAAUCCGUGCCAGCAGCCGCGGUAAUACGGAAGGUCCGGGCGUUAUCCGGAUUUAGUGGGUUUAAAGGGAGCGUAGGCCGCAUGUCAAGCGUGCUGUGAAAUGUUCGGGCUCAACCCGGGCCUUGCAACGCGAACUGGCGGCCUUGAGUCCGCGGAAGGCAGGCGGAAUUCGUCGUGUAGCGGUGAAAUGCUUAGAUAUGACGAAGAACCCCGAUUGCGAAGGCAGCUUGCUGCAGCGGCACUGACGCUGAUGCUCGAAAGCGCGGGUAUCGAACAGGAUUAGAUACCCCGGUAGUC